RNAcentral lists this ribosomal RNA (374 nucleotides) under uncultured bacterium. Its description in RNAcentral is "bacterial SSU rRNA". It matches the Rfam family "Bacterial small subunit ribosomal RNA", at positions 28 to 399 of the family's 1533-position model. The record is from RNAcentral.
GACGAACGUUGGCGGCGUGCUUAAUACAUGCAAGUCAACUGAAGCACCGGUAGUAAUACUGGUGUGGAGGUGGCGCACGGGUGAGUAACACGUAGGUAAUCUGCCUUCAGGUCUGACAUAACCCCGAGAAAUCGGGGCUAAUAGCAGAUGAUGCAGCGGCUUGACAUCAAGACAGUUGUUAAAGCUUCGGCGCCUGAAGAUGAGCCUGCGUCUGAUUAGCUAGUUGGCGGAGUAAUGGCCCACCAAGGCUACGAUCAGUAACUGGUCUGAGAGGAUGAUCAGUCACACUGGAACUGAGACACGGUCCAGACUCCUACGGGAGGCAGCAGUAAGGAAUAUUGCUCAAUGGGAGAAAUCCUGAAGCAGCAACGCCG